GACGAACCUUGCUAACGUUAUUCGGAAUUACUGGGCUUAAAGCGUGUGUAGGCGGAUUUGUAAGUACCUUGUGAAAUCCCACGGCUCAACCGUGGAACUGCUCGGUAUACUGCUUAUCUUGAGCCACUUAGGGGCUACCGGAACAAAUGGUGGAGCGGUGAAAUGCGUAGAUAUCAUUUGGAACGCCAAUGGUGAAAACAGGUAGCUGGGAGUGUGCUGACGCUGAGACACGAAAGCCAGGGGAGCGAACGGG
RNAcentral lists this ribosomal RNA (253 nucleotides) under uncultured bacterium. RNAcentral's name for it is "partial 16S ribosomal RNA". It matches the Rfam family "Bacterial small subunit ribosomal RNA", at positions 524 to 776 of the family's 1533-position model. The record is from RNAcentral.